UUCACACUUCUGAACAUGAGGUUCCCUGCUCAGCUCCUGGGUCUCCUCCUGCUCUGGAUCCCAGGAUCCAGUGGGGACAUUGUGCUGACCCAGACUCCACUCUCCCUGUCUGUCAUCCCUGGAAAGAUGGCGUCCAUCUCCUGCAGAGCCAGUCAGAGCCUUGAAGAUAGUUAUGGAGACACUUCUUUGAGCUGGCACCUGCAGAAGCCUGGCCAGUCUCCACAGCUCCUGAUCUAUUUGGUUUCUAAUUGGGCCUCUGGGGUGCCAGACAGGUUCACUGGCAGUGGGUCAGGGACAGAUUUCACCCUUAAAAUCAGCAGAGUGGAGGCUGAGGAUGCUGGAGUUUAUUACUGCCAGCAGAGUAUACAAGAACCUCCCACAGUGGUACAGCUCUGAACAUAAACCCCCCCUCUCCUGGUCGCCCAGCUGCUCACAUGUGUUGACUGGGGAGCAGGUAGGCAUAGUCUCUGAUGGUGUAGGA
Dama dama (fallow deer) is the source of this 481-nucleotide non-coding RNA. NCBI's taxonomy places the organism in Eukaryota, Metazoa, Chordata, Mammalia, Artiodactyla, Cervidae. The record is from the annotation of a RefSeq genome assembly.